RNAcentral lists this ribosomal RNA (449 nucleotides) under uncultured soil bacterium. RNAcentral describes it as "bacterial SSU rRNA". It matches the Rfam family "Bacterial small subunit ribosomal RNA", at positions 26 to 518 of the family's 1533-position model. The record is from RNAcentral.
AGAACGAACGCUGGCGGCAGGCUUAACACAUGCAAGUCGAACGGUUGUAGCAAUACAGCAGUGGCAGACGGGUGAGUAACACGUGGGAACCUUCCUAGGGGUACGGAACAACUCAGGGAAACUUGAGCUAAUACCGUAUACGUCCGUGAGGAGAAAGAUUUAUCGCCCCUAGGACGGGCCCGCGUAGGAUUGGGUAGUUGGUGAGGUAACGGCUCACCAAGCCUACGAUCCUUAGCUGAUCUGAGAGGAUGAUCAGCCACACUGGGACUGAGACACGGCCCAGACUCCUACGGGAGGCAGCAGUGGGGAAUCUUGGACAAUGGGCGCAAGCCUGAUCCAGCCAUGCGCGUGAGUGAAGAAGGCCUUCGGGUUGUAAAGCUCUUUUACCAGGGACGAUAAUGACGGUACUGGAGAAUAAGACCCGGCAAACUUACGCGCCACGCAGCCGC